Molecule: long non-coding RNA, 498 nt
Organism: Ornithodoros turicata
Lineage: Eukaryota; Metazoa; Arthropoda; Arachnida; Ixodida; Argasidae
Exons: 4
Source: RefSeq, a predicted model, not a curated record
CUGUGCCAACCUUAUCUGCAGCAGGAGAUUGCAGGGGCAGGACUAGGCAGCAGAUAAAGGCAUUCUGGCACCACCGAAAAGCUUGCACUCCACGUCUCAACUAUCACCGUCUGGGUUUCAAGCUGAAGGCUGUCACCAGUGCCAACCAGUCGCCCCUUCAAAGUUCAUCUGUUUUUGUUGACGGAACAGUAACACCUGAGCGCUCAAGGGCAGUUCAAGCAGUUUCAUCUGUGCAACACCACAUACUUUUUCUCAGUUUUGACUAAGGUAAACCUGUCACGCAGAUGCCCUACCCCUUGGUAUGCAUAGUUCAAGAUUGUACCGAAACAAUCCACCUGGAGCAUUAUUCUUCAGUUGGCAGUGGAAUUACUAUCACAACACACCACAUACUGCAUGUCUAUGGUGCGUGUACAAUGCAUCAAACCUAUUCUCAGGUACAGGCCAGCUGGUACGCAAUUACAACAUGAAACAACUGACACAGAGACCGUAAAGUCAUGC